RNAcentral lists this ribosomal RNA (232 nucleotides) under uncultured bacterium. RNAcentral describes it as "partial 16S ribosomal RNA". It matches the Rfam family "Bacterial small subunit ribosomal RNA", at positions 545 to 776 of the family's 1533-position model. The record is from RNAcentral.
UCGGAAUUACUGGGCGUAAAGCGCACGUAGGCGGCUUCUUAAGUCGGUGGUGAAAUCCUGGAGCUCAACUCCAGAACUGCCUUCGAUACUGGGGAGCUCGAGUCCGGGAGAGGUGAGUGGAACUGCGAGUGUAGAGGUGAAAUUCGUAGAUAUUCGCAAGAACACCAGUUGCGAAGGCGGCUCACUGGCCCGGUACUGACGCUGAGGUGCGAAAGCGUGGGGAGCAAACAGG